AUGGCAUUGUGUCAGUACAAACUAAAUGAGAGUGAAACCGCGAAUGGCUCAUUAAAUCAGCUAUGAUUCAUUGGAUCUGUACACCCAGUUUUCCUUGGAUAACUGUGGUAAUUCUAGAGCUAAUACAUGCACAUAUAGUCCCUGCCCUCCUCUCUUGUCUGACGAUGAGAGAGAGAGGGAAGGGCGCUUUUAUUAGUAUCAAAACCGGUCGGGCUUCGGUCUGUUAACCUAUUUGAUGACUCUGGAUAACUUUUAGCUGAGCGCACGGUCUUUUGCACCGGCGCCGCUUCUUUCAAGUGUCUGCCUUAUCAGCUUUCGAUUGUAUGUUAUGUGCCUACAAUGGCUAUAACGGGUAACGGGGAAUCAGGGUUCGAUUCCGGAGAGGGAGCCUGAGAAACGGCUACCACAUCUAAGGAAGGCAGCAGGCACGCAAAUUACCCACUCCCGGCACGGGGAGGUAGUGACGAAAAAUAACGAUGCGAGACUCAUCCGAGGCUUCGCAAUCGGAAUGAGUACACUUUAAAUCCUUUAACGAGGAUCAAUUGGAGGGCAAGUCUGGUGCCAGCAGCCGCGGUAAUUCCAGCUCCAAUGGCGUAUAUUAAAGUUGUUGCGGUUAAAAAGCUCGUAGUUGGAUUUCAGUAUUGGACUGAUGAGUUUUUUCACCUUCGGGUGAUUAAACGGAAUCAAGCUUCAAAACCUGCUACCACAAUAAUUACAUUGUGUGUUGCUCAACUAGCUCACACGGGGUGCUCUUAACCGAGUGUCCCGAGUGGCUGGUAUGUUUACUUUGAAAAAAUUAGAGUGCUCAGAGCAGGCUACAAAUGGCCUGAAUGUCUAUGCAUGGAAUAAUAUAAGAGGACCUCGGUUUUAUGUUUUACCGCGUUUCUUUUGGAAACCCGAGGUAAUGAUUAAUAGGACCAAGUGAGGGCAUUAGUACUGCGACGCUAGAGGUGAAGAUGCUUUCAUUAAUCAAGAACGAAAGUUAGAGGUUCGAAGGCGAUCAGAUACCGCCCUAGUUCUAACCAUAAACGAUGCUAACCAGCGAUCCGCCGUAGUUAUUCCCAUGACUCGGCGGGCAGCUUCCGGGAAACCAAAGUCUUUGAGUUCCGGGGGAAGUAUGGUUGCAAAUCUGAAACUUAAAGGAAUUGACGGAAGGGCACCACCAGGAGUGGAGCCUGCGGCUUAAUUUGACUCAACACGGGAAACCUCACCAGGCCCAGACACUGGAAGGAUUGACAGAUUGAGAGCUCUUUCUCGAUUCAGUGGGUGGUGGUGCAUGGCCGUUCUUAGUUGGUGGAGCGAUUUGUCUGGUUAAUUCCGAUAACGAACGAGACUCUGGCCUAUUAACUAGUCGACGGAUUUCCAAACCAUGCAAUUGGUGUCCAGUUCGCAAUAUUAUCUUCUUAGAGGGAUAAGCGGUAGUCCUAGCCGCACGAGAAUGAGCAAUAACAGGUCUGUGAUGCCCUUAGAUGUUCUGGGCCGCACGCGCGCUACACUGAAGGGAUCAGAAUGUUUUCCCCCUCCGAAAGGAGCGGGUAACCCGAUGAAACCCCUUCGUGAUAGGGAUUGGGGCUUGUAAUUAUUUCCCAUGAACGAGGAAUUCCCAGUAAGCGCAGAUCAAGAGUUUGCGUUGAUUACGUCCCUGCCCUUUGUACACACCGCCCGUCGCUACUACCGAUUGAAUGAUUUAGUGAGGCCUUCGGACUGUCGCUCUUGGAUAUCUUGGCUUAAUGCUAGUUCCUAGAGCUGACGGAAAGAUGUCCAAACUUGAUCAUUUAGAGGAAGUAAAAGUCGUAACAAGGUUUC
RNAcentral lists this ribosomal RNA (1806 nucleotides) under Gonionida aff. andamanica. RNAcentral describes it as "SSU rRNA". It matches the Rfam family "Eukaryotic small subunit ribosomal RNA". The record is from RNAcentral. Lineage: Eukaryota; Metazoa; Arthropoda; Malacostraca; Decapoda; Munididae.